GGAGAGGGCAACCCAGGCCCCGGCGCCCCGAGCUCGCGACGACAGUGUCGCCCGCGCCAGGCAAGUCCAUGGAGACAGAUCACGCCGUGACAGGCCAGAGGCGGCUCGAGGGAUCCAUAAUUUAUGAUGUUGUUCUUACCAGUCCGGUUUGGGAUUUCACAAGCGUUGCCCGUUCCCCUCCCAUUUGUUGCUCCCGCCCGUCCUUUUGGAGAAAACUCCUUUUCCCCUACCCAAGACAGUAGCAGUUGCCGGAUUGAAUUAAUGUGAUAAGAGAGAGAGAGAAAAAAGGUGGCAGAGAGCAACUGUUGCAACUGCUCGCAAGGCUGGAGCCGGUGAAGACGCGAAGAAAGCGAAGGUUGGACCUGGUCAGACCGCUUCUGAUUGCUGCAAAGGCCCAGAGGCCCCACGCCCAGGGCAGCUCCCAUUUCGCCUGGGCUGAGGAGGGAACAGGCCUGGGACGGUCUGCAGGCUCCAGAGCCUCUGCAGAUGGCUGGGUCAUUUUGUGGUUUACAAAUGAUCAAGUCAGGUUGAAGCCACAGUCUCUGUGGUUACAAGGCAACUGUGAUUAGUCACCCAGUUAGUGACCCAGUUAUGGCACACCCUCUUUUAAAAGGACAUCAUUCAACAUCUUGCUGGCUUGAUUUCAGAAACGUUCCAUGUAGACCAGGAAAGUGAACACUGCAAGGCGGUGGGGGGGGGGGGGGGGGGGUUUAAGCCUAGGUUAUGUGUUUGCAUAUGCCAAGAGUUGGAUUUUCCAAAAAGGAGUAAAUCUGGGAGUUAACUUUUGAGGCUAGAAUUUCACUGAACUUUGGCGAGAGAUUGCUUUUCAAGUUCAGGUAUGGCUGUUUCUGCAAGGAGUCGGGGAGAGAGAGAAAAGAGAGUUACCUCGUGAGCUUUGACUUGGCUUAUAUAUUCAUGGCCAUCUGUAAAAUGAAAGUGGGGAGGCAGGAAGGGGAAGAAGAACACUACAUAUGAAGGCUUGUGUGGCUUUUGAUUUUUUAAAAAUAGCCUUUCUUUUUACCACAAUGGCAUAGGAACUCAUAGACAUGAGUCCCCAGUAAUAGUAAACAAAUUAGCUUCUUUUAUCUGAAAAACAAGUAGAGUAAGUCUCUCUCUCUCUCUCUCUCUCUCUCUCUCUGCAAAGAGAAAAUGCAAAACAAAAAUCCCCCCUCCUCUUAAAGGCUUCUUUGCUGGUUGCGUGUUUGUCCAGGAACAAAUAGUCUUUUAUUCGAACGGUCUCCAAAAGUUCAUAAGCAAAAAAAGUGUCCAACGUCUGGUUACCGACAAUGCAAUCUCUGGCUGCAUGGUGAAGCUUUUCUGUCCUGAAUUUGUGAUCUGCUAUCAGAGUCCUUUAAUUUCUGUGAACAGAAGGCUCUUUGGGAGAAGAAAGCUUGGGGGUGGGGAGUGACAUUGGAAUCAGUCUUUUUUCCCCCUUUUUGCUGUUUUCUUCCAGGCAGCAAGUAGUGCUUGAAUUCUUCUGAUCUUUCCCAGCAUCUUACCGAGGUGAGGGCCAGGGAAGGGUUAAGCCGGGCCACAGGCAGGUUUCCCUGCUGGCCUAUUUUACUGGGGUGUAGCAGCUGGUCAGGCACCACCUAGGAACUGUUCAUAAAAAGGAGACGCCCUACUCCUGAUGCCCUUUAUCUCCUUUGGAGAUUUUCCUUUUACAGCGUGUUUUAUCCAGUCUUCAGUGACAACCAUCUUUUUAAAGUCCUAGGUUCCCUUAAACCAUUGGGGGUUUACAUGUAUUCCUAACAUUCCCUGUGUAGUAUCUGGCAGGAUGAAAGGAAAGAGGCAAACCAUUAGGGAGAAAAUAGAGAGUCAUUUUGAGGGCUGUGCAAAACUGAUUAUUUGUAACUAAAUUUUACUUGCUUGCAGAUAAAUUAUUUUAAACAUUUGGUCACCUUUUGUGGUUUGAAACUUCAAUUCGAGUUGGAUUCCAUUUCACACGCUUACUGAGAAGCUUCAGAAGUCUGGUCCUUUCCUAGGUGCAGAGGACACAGGAGAAAGCAAGACACCCAGAGGCCACACUCUCAUGGAGCUUAUAUUCUAAUGUCCUGUGGUCUCCACACUGGGGAUAUGCCUGCCUGCAGUUCACAGUCAAGCAGGGGAGGCAGAUAAUACAAACAAGCAAUGACCUUGAAGGUCAGUACGUGCUACGGGUAGUCAGAUACAGAAGGUCACAGGACCACAUAUUAGGGAUGCUUAACCUUAAGCUUAGUGAAUCAGAUGAGGCUUUGUGGAGGCCAUGGAAUCUAAGCUAAAACACGAGAGGAAAGCAGGAGUCAGAUGGGGACGGGAAGAGUUCCUUGUGGAGGGGAACAGGGCACACAAAAGUCCCUCGGGCAGAGAAGCACGGCAUUUGUGAGGAAAUGAAGAAGGUUCAGCUUGGGCAAAGCGUGGCCAGGAUGCUGAAGAGACAGGACGGGCAGACACAGGGCAUUGCAGGGUGGGCACAUGAGUUUUGAUUUUAUGCUAAUAGGCUAUGAAAAACCAUGGGAAGGGUUUCAAAGUUGGAAAGUUGGUGUGUGUGUGUGUGUGUAUGUGUGUGUGUACAAAUGGGUGGGUUUGAGCAGUAUUGGAGAGAGUUUGCACCAGAGAGAGAAAGGUCAUGGAUACCGCCCCCCCCCCCCAGGUUUCUGAUUUGAACCACUGGGUGGGGGGGCACUGCUGAGGUCAGGAAUACUUGGGGAAAUGUGAAAGGGAAGAGGGCAGGUUUGCUUUUGUGCAUCUUAGGUUUGAGGUUCCUGACAGACUGCCAAGUGGAUGUGAAUUUGGGGACACUGGUCAUCAUUGGGAAAGCCAGGAAGGACUUGAGAAAAAUCAUUCAGAUAACGUGUGUGUUUGUUUCAGUGGUAGCCUGAGAUCCUGUGGCUGUCAGGAGAGAAAUUCACUCCAGCUAGCCCGAAAAAGUGUGGAAUUGUUAGGGUACAGAGAGCUUCACGGGGUGUGUUGCUCACCGGGAAGCUAUGAGGAUGGGAACAGCUCUUCUGGACUAUGUAGGACAAUGUGGCCACCUGCCACUCGAACCUUCACUUACACCGCAUGCCCCUCUGUGCUCGUGUGUGAGGCCUCCAGCCUCCAUAUCUGCCCCCUGCAGAGCUGACUCCUGCUCUCACUUGCCAAAGGACUUGACAGCUGCAUUGAAAAGCCUCCUGUGGACUUCACCACAAUCUUUAAAAGACUUUUUUGGAUCUUUUAUUUAUUUUUGAGAGAGAGGGACAGAGAAUGCGCAGGGGGAGGAACAGAGAGAGAGGGAGACACAGAAUCUGAAGGAGGCUCCAGGCUCCGAGCUGUCAGCCCAGAGCCUGACGCGGGGCUCGAACCCACAAACUGUGAGAUCAUAACCUGAGCCAAAGUCGGACGCUCAACUGACUGAGCCACCCAGGCGCCCUGAGUACAGAACUUCUGAUCAGACACAAUGUUGGUACAUUCUUUAUUUCCCUGUCUAACCCAUGAAAUCUGCUGCUGUGUGUUCCUGUUCCAUGGAGCAGGGAGGAAAGGGCGUGUGCGCAAAACUGUCUGAAUGUCUCCUUUACCAGGAGGAUCUGGGCAGUUUGCGUGUACUGUACUCUCAAAGCUUCAGUCCCCUACUCUGGAAGUCAGCGCCUACUUCCCCAGGAGAGACAGUUGCACGAGAUAACACAUGAAAUGCUUGCACUCGGUUGACUGUUCCUUUCCUCCUUUUACUUCUCUGUAAUUCUUGUGCAAAUCAUUGCCCAGAAAACAGGGAUUGUACUUCUAUGACAUUUUUAUAGUGAUUCCUAUGCAUGGGUAUUAACAAAUGUUUAUAGAAUGAUUAUAUAUUUUUGUUCCGUUAAAUAGUAGUUGUAGCCACUCGAUAACAUGUUAGGAAAUUUGAGAUGAGGAAAAAUCAUUUGCCUAUAAUCCUGCCAUUUAAAUAA
This is a long non-coding RNA of Neofelis nebulosa (Clouded leopard), 3902 nucleotides long. RefSeq lists it as uncharacterized. The record is from RefSeq and is a predicted model, not a curated record. The transcript has 3 exons. Lineage: Eukaryota; Metazoa; Chordata; Mammalia; Carnivora; Felidae.